GGCGAGGGGAGUGAAAAAGAACCUGAAACCGUGUACGUACAAGCAGUGGGAGCCUCUUUAUGGGGUGACUGCGUACCUUUUGUAUAAUGGGUCAGCGACUUAUAUUCUGUAGCAAGGUUAACCGAAUAGGGGAGCCGAAGGGAAACCGAGUCUUAACUGGGCGUUAAGUUGCAGGGUAUAGACCCGAAACCCGGUGAUCUAGCCAUGGGCAGGUUGAAGGUUGGGUAACACUAACUGGAGGACCGAACCGACUAAUGUUGAAAAAUUAGCGGAUGACUUGUGGCUGGGGGUGAAAGGCCAAUCAAACCGGGAGAUAGCUGGUUCUCCCCGAAAGCUAUUUAGGUAGCGCCUCGUGAAUUCAUCUCCGGGGGUAGAGCACUGUUUCGGCAAGGGGGUCAUCCCGACUUACCAACCCGAUGCAAACUGCGAAUACCGGAGAAUGUUAUCACGGGAGACACACGGCGGGUGCUAACGUCCGUCGUGAAGAGGGAAACAACCCAGACCGCCAGCUAAGGUCCCAAAGUCAUGGUUAAGUGGGAAACGAUGUGGGAAGGCCCAGACAGCCAGGAUGUUGGCUUAGAAGCAGCCAUCAUUUAAAGAAAGCGUAAUAGCUCACUGGUCGAGUCGGCCUGCGCGGAAGAUGUAACGGGGCUAAACCAUG
This 661-nucleotide ribosomal RNA is filed under the name Escherichia coli. RNAcentral describes it as "partial 23S ribosomal RNA". It matches the Rfam family "Bacterial large subunit ribosomal RNA", at positions 528 to 1191 of the family's 2925-position model. Lineage: Bacteria; Pseudomonadati; Pseudomonadota; Gammaproteobacteria; Enterobacterales; Enterobacteriaceae. The record is from RNAcentral.